GACGAACGCUGGCGGCGGGCUUAACACAUGCAAGUCGAACGGAAAGGCCCUGCUUUUGUGGGGUGCUCGAGUGGCGAACGGGUGAGUAACACGUGAGUAACCUGCCCUUGGCUUUGGGAUAACUUCAGGAAACUGGGGCUAAUACCGGAUAGGAGCUCCUGCUGCAUGGUGGGGGUUGGAAAGUUUCGGCGGGUGGGGAUGGACUCGCGGCUUAUCAGCUUGUUGGUGGGGGAGUGGCUUACCAAGGGUUUGACGGGUAGCCGGCCUGAGAGGGUGACCGGCGACAUUGGGACUGAGAUACGGACCAGACUCCUACGGGAGGCAGCAGUGGGGAAUAUUGCACAAUGGGCGGAAGCCUGAUGCAGCAACGCCGCGUGCGGGAUGAAGGCCUUCGGGUGGUAAACCGCUUUCGCCUGUGACGAAGCGUGAGUGACGGUAAUGGGUAAAGAAGCACCGGCUAACUACGUG
Molecule: ribosomal RNA, 468 nt
Filed under: uncultured bacterium
Lineage: Bacteria
Description: partial 16S ribosomal RNA
Rfam family: Bacterial small subunit ribosomal RNA
Source: RNAcentral